This is an RNA transcript of Prosopis cineraria, 2539 nucleotides long. It is a transcript of the gene named pentatricopeptide repeat-containing protein At1g26460, mitochondrial, with no coding region annotated. Lineage: Eukaryota; Viridiplantae; Streptophyta; Magnoliopsida; Fabales; Fabaceae. The transcript is spliced from 8 exons. The record is from RefSeq and is a predicted model, not a curated record.
UUCCAAUAUCACCCCCGUGCCUUCCCGAUCCAGAGACAAUGAACGACUAGAUUCCGAGGUGAACUGAACUGAAGCAGAAAACCCUAAGCCACCAUCGAAGCUCAAUCAAUGGCGUUGCAAAUGGCAAUCAUUGCUCGCACGCGGUCUCUGAUCAAAACGCUUCACUCUAACUACGCUAACACAUCCGUGAAGACGAUUGCCACCUUCCCAUUCCUCUCUCAGGAGCCUCAACUCGCAGAGUCACCGGCGCCACCCGCUCCAGCCCCGCUCCCUCCGAACCCGGCCUCCGGUAGUCCUCUCUACAAUGAGAAUUGGCGCAGCCCAAUUCCACUUUCUGCAACCCAGUCAGUGAUUCCGCUGGGUUUUCUUAACCUAGUACCCGGUCAUCGCAUCCAAGCAAUGGCUCAGACAUUUGAUGUUAAGAGCUUGAUGGAUCAGUUUGGUGAUUGGAUGGCCUCUCAGGAAUGGGCUGCUAUCAAAGAGUUGUUCGAGUCUUGGGUUAAGUCAUUGGACAAGAGUGGGAAGCCGAAUAAGCCUGAUGUGAAUUUGUAUAAUCAUUAUCUGAGAGCGAACUUGAUGAUUGGUGCUUCUGCUGGGGAGCUACUUGACUUGCUAGCUGGAAUGGAGAAUUUUGAUAUCACACCUAACACUGCUUCGUUCAAUUUGGUGCUUAAAGCAAUGUACCACUCCAGGGAGACUGAAGCUGCUAAGAAGUUGCUGGAACGGAUGCUGCUGACUGGAAAUGAAUCUCGCCCUGAUAAUGAAUCAUAUGACUUGGUCAUUGGAAUGCUGUUUUUGACUGGCCAAAUUGAUGCUGCACUGAAAUAUAUAGAUUUGGCUUUGAAAUCAAGUUAUAUGUUGUCAAUGAAUGUGUUUACUAAUUGUGUAAAUAUUUGUAUCAGUAAGGGUAGGCUAGAUACCUUGGCAGCGAUAAUUGAAAAGUGCAAGACAAUGGAUCAGAACAAAGCUCUUUGCCCUCCAUGGAAUGUGUGCUAUUUAAUAGCUGAAACUGCAAUGCAGCAUGACAAUAGCAAGCUAGCUUUCUUUGCCCUGGAGUUUAUGGCUAUGUGGAUUGCAAGGGGUGAGCAGGCACGACCUGCUGCAUUGCUUUCUGUAGAUGAAGGUUUAGUUGUGUCAGCUCUAGCCACUGCUGGUAGGACCUAUAGUUCUAAUCUGCUAGAUGCAGCAUGGACUAUUUUACGUCGCUCAUUGCGUCAAAGAAAGGCUCCGAAUCCUGAAUCUUAUCUCGGGAAGAUAAAUGCCCUUGCAUCAAUGGGGAACUUACAAAGGGCUUUUUGUACGUUGCAUGACUUUGAGAUAGCCUAUGGAGAUUGCAGUCAAGAAGCUGAAGAAAUGUUCUCCCCCUUUACUUCUUUACAUCCAUUGGUUGUGGCAUGCUCCAAGAAGGGAUUUGAGACUUUGGAUUCAGUUUAUUUUCAACUGGAAAGUUUGAGCCGAGCAGAGACUCCUUAUAAAUCUGUUGCUGCUCUAAACUGCAUCAUUUUAGGUUGUGCAAACAUAUGGGACCUUGAUCGCGCAUACCAAACUUUUGAAGCAAUCGGAUCCUCUUUUGGAUUGACACCUGAUAUUCAUUCAUAUAAUGCACUGAUGCAAGCAUUUGGAAAGCUCAAAAAGACACAUGAAGCAACUAAGGUGUUUGAGCAUGUUGUGAGCUUGGGUGUAAAGCCAAAUGCAAUGUCAUAUUCUCUUCUUGUGGAUGCCCAUCUCAUGAACCGAAAUGCCAAAGAUGCUCUAGCUGUAAUUGAUGAUAUGGUGGCUGCUGGAUUUGAACCUACAAAAGAGAUGUUAAAAAAGGUUCGAAGGCGAUGCAUGCGAGAAAUGGACUAUGAGAGUGAUGACAGAGUUCAGUCCCUUGCCAACUCUCUGAACAUUCGAAUGGGUUCAGAAGCCCGUCGAGACAUCCUAUUCAAUAUUGAUUACAGCAUGGAUUAUGCUUAAAAUUAUCUUGUUAUUUAUCUCCAAGAAGUAAUCUAAGAAAAUCGGCAAAUCUUAUACCCCAUCCUUUUGGAGAGAAUCCCUGUAUGUACAUUACCGGAUGGUGUUAGAUCGUUAGCCGAGGCAGGAUGAGGAAAGAAUGGCUUAUUUAUUGCAGCUUUUCAUUUUUGUAUUAUUGAAUUGGAAGAGGACGUUAACGAUAGGGUUGUCCUAGGAGAAAGAAAGAAGUGCAUUUUGUAGCAGUUAUUUGAAUGUUGACUAAUAAUUGUAGGUCAAAUCCAAAUACACGAGAUAAUGUUAAGACUGCUUGAGCAACUUGUUGAAGCAAAAGACGGUAAAUAUUCAAUGAUGCUAUAUGUUGAUUGAAUGGUCCAGUGAGAAUCCAAAUGAGCAUCAUCACGCUAAAGCAGGCUAAAGAAAAGUACUGUGGAUUUAUUCUUGUAGAGCAGUUCCAGCAAACCACAUGAAGUUCAUCCUUAUCAUUGUAAAUAGUGCUUGCACAAUGAGUUUCAUCUAUCUUCAAUUUGAACGGAAAGAAAAGUUGAGAAAAAAAAUAAAAAAGUAAAUAUUAUCGCUCUUUAAA